GACGAACGCUGGCGGCGUGCCUAAUACAUGCAAGUUGAGCGCUGAAGGUUGGUACUUGUACCGACUGGAUGAGCAGCGAACGGGUGAGUAACGCGUGGGGAAUCUGCCUUUGAGCGGGGGACAACAUUUGGAAACGAAUGCUAAUACCGCAUAAAAACUUUAAACACAAGUUUUAAGUUUGAAAGAUGCAAUUGCAUCACUCAAAGAUGAUCCCGCGUUGUAUUAGCUAGUUGGUGAGGUAAAGGCUCACCAAGGCGAUGAUACAUAGCCGACCUGAGAGGGUGAUCGGCCACAUUGGGACUGAGACACGGCCCAAACUCCUACGGGAGGCAGCAGUAGGGAAUCUUCGGCAAGGGACGAAAGUCUGACCGAGAAACGCCGCGGGAGUGAAGAAGGGUGUCGGAUCGUAAAACUCUGUUGGUAGAGAAGAACGUUGGUGAGAGUGGAAAGCUCAUCAAGUGACGGUAACUACCCAGAAAGGGACGGCUAACUACGUG
Molecule: ribosomal RNA, 497 nt
Filed under: uncultured bacterium
Lineage: Bacteria
Description: partial 16S ribosomal RNA
Rfam family: Bacterial small subunit ribosomal RNA
Source: RNAcentral